AUGCCUGCUACGAUUGCUGCUGUGUUCUCAGCCCCAUCAGCCGAUGAUCCUGCAGUACCUGAGCUAAUCGCGCUCU
This 76-nucleotide small RNA is filed under the name Arabidopsis thaliana (thale cress). Its description in RNAcentral is "ATSL243880". The record is from RNAcentral. Lineage: Eukaryota; Viridiplantae; Streptophyta; Magnoliopsida; Brassicales; Brassicaceae.